Molecule: long non-coding RNA, 556 nt
Filed under: Ananas comosus (pineapple)
Lineage: Eukaryota; Viridiplantae; Streptophyta; Magnoliopsida; Poales; Bromeliaceae
Description: long non-coding RNA (ACOM_LNC042550)
Source: RNAcentral
AUUCACUUCAGGCAGUACGAAAUCUGAUAUUUUUCGCCGAAGCCCUCUGAAUAUCCUUUUGAGCUCAAAUUUGACAGUCAUGCUCGGUUUUGUAUAACUUAACGAAAAAAAUUUUAAUCUUUCGGUUUCGACCUCGUUUGGUCACCGAAAGCUGUACCGAACUGUAAUCUUUAUCAGAUAACUGUCGGAUUUAUUUUUCACCUUCCGGAUGUUAGAAUGACAUGAAACUUUAAAUCUAGCCUCAUAAAAAUAAUUCUGACAUACUCCCAAAUUUUCGGAAUUUUCUGAUACUGUGCAUUUUCUGCUAAAAUAACAGCCCUGAUUCACACAGAAAAUUCAAAAUCUUUUGUUCUCGCUCCGAUUUCCGCACGAGCUGUUCCCGACUUAUAUUUUACUUCUAUAAGUCCAAUAAAAAUAGUAUCUCACACUAUUUUUAUUUAUUUUUAUCCUUAUUUAAAAUCUGAUAUGCUACAUCAUCAAUCCGCUUCGAUCCUUCAAGACUCCGACUCACUUUACGAAACUUGCCAAUACAAAGUUCUUAACAAUCUCCCCCUUU